UGUGGUCAGGGCCCGGCAGUACA
This 23-nucleotide unclassified non-coding RNA is filed under the name Mus musculus (house mouse). RNAcentral describes it as "oocyte_clustered_small_RNA9116". The record is from RNAcentral. Lineage: Eukaryota; Metazoa; Chordata; Mammalia; Rodentia; Muridae.